GACGAACGCUGGCGGCGUGCCUAAUACAUGCAAGUCGAACGCUUCUUUCCUCCCGAGUGCUUGCACUCAAUUGGAAAGGGGAGUGGCGGACGGGUGAGUAACACGUGGGUAACCUACCCAUCAGCGGGGGAUAACACUUGGAAACAGGUGCUAAUACCGCAUAACAGUUUAUGCCGCAUGGCAUAGGAGUGAAAGGCGCUUUCGGGUGUCGCUGAUGGAUGGACCCGCGGUGCAUUAGCUAGUUGGUGAGGUAACGGCUCACCAAGGCCACGAUGCAUAGCCGGCCUGAGAGGGUGAUCGGCCACACUGGGACUGAGACACGGCCCAGACUCCUACGGGAGGCAGCAGUAGGGAAUCUUCGGCAAUGGGCGAAAGUCUGACCGAGCAACGCCGCGUGAGUGAAGAAGGUUUUCGGAUCGUAAAACUCUGUUGUUAGAGAAGAACAAGGACGUUAGUAACUGAACGUCCCCUGACGGUAUCUAACCAGAAAGCCACGGCUAACUACGUG
Molecule: ribosomal RNA, 508 nt
Filed under: uncultured bacterium
Lineage: Bacteria
Description: partial 16S ribosomal RNA
Rfam family: Bacterial small subunit ribosomal RNA
Source: RNAcentral